This is a small nuclear RNA of Rhineura floridana, 102 nucleotides long. Lineage: Eukaryota; Metazoa; Chordata; Lepidosauria; Squamata; Rhineuridae. The record is from RefSeq and is a predicted model, not a curated record.
GCUCACUUUGGUAGAACGUAUACGAAAAUUGGAAUGAUACAGAGAUUACUACAUCACCUGCACAAGGAUGAUCUGCAAACUUAUGAAGCAUUUCAUACUUUU